AAUAAGAUGCCUGAUUAAAGGUUCAUUUUGAUGAAAUGAUUUAAAUAUAUUUAUAUAUUCUUAUUG
RNAcentral lists this transfer RNA (66 nucleotides) under Petalocephala ochracea. RNAcentral's name for it is "tRNA-Ile". The record is from RNAcentral. Lineage: Eukaryota; Metazoa; Arthropoda; Insecta; Hemiptera; Cicadellidae.